Long non-coding RNA from Oncorhynchus tshawytscha (Chinook salmon), 316 nucleotides. NCBI's taxonomy places the organism in Eukaryota, Metazoa, Chordata, Actinopteri, Salmoniformes, Salmonidae. The record is from Ensembl.
AGGGUUAGCGUUGAACCGGGAUGUGGACAUGAAGCUAGUGUUAGGGUUGAACUGGGAUGUGGACAUGAAGCUAGUGGUACGGUUGAACUAGGAUGUGGAUAUGAAGCUAGGGUUAGCAUUGAACCGGGAUGUGGAAAUGCAGCUAGGGUUAGGGUGGAACCAGGAUGUGGACAUGAAGCUAGGGUUAGGGUUGAACUGGGAUGUGGACAUGAAGCUAGGGUUAGGGUUGAACCAGGAUGUGGACAUGAAGCUAGGGUUUGGGUUGAACUGGGAUGUGGACAUGAAGCUAGGGUUAGGGUUAGAGUUGAACCAGGAU